RNAcentral lists this long non-coding RNA (449 nucleotides) under Zea mays. RNAcentral's name for it is "drought responsive lncRNA". Lineage: Eukaryota; Viridiplantae; Streptophyta; Magnoliopsida; Poales; Poaceae. The record is from RNAcentral.
CGCGUCACAAUGAGAUGGCAUUUUUUUUUCUUCUUCCGUCGUCGAUGAAUCAAGUUUGGAUAAUUGGAUUCGUGGCGUAACCAAUCCCAAUAAAGAAUUGCUUCGUCCAGUUCUUCAACCUAGGUGACACUGACACAAGGCAUGGUCGGGAAUUGAUCGAGGUUUCUGCACCUGCAGGGCUGCAGCCCACUUGUCCACUCCAAUACAAGAGCCGGGACGGCGGGGCGGGCGGAUCGGCCAUGGCGCCUCCGAGGCAAGGGGAGGAGCAUGCGGGCGCCGGCGCCGGCGCUGCGGGCCCCGGCACACGUGAUGGCGCGGAUGUUCUCGCAGCUCGACUGCGUUGACCUCGGAAGCUGUUCCCUCGUCUGCAAGGUACCCUCAGUGCAGAUUAGCCUGCAGGAGGCCAUCUCUUAUCUGCGCCGAGACAUCCUUGACAGCUCCAGGACCGU